CUCCCUCGUUGCUGAUCUCAGGUUCGAUAAUGCCAAAUCGCACCACCUCGCCUAAAAUCAACUUCGAUGAAGCGACGGGCGGUGUGUG
This 88-nucleotide ribosomal RNA is filed under the name uncultured archaeon. RNAcentral's name for it is "partial 16S ribosomal RNA". The record is from RNAcentral.